UAAUAAUUAGUUUAUGUUUCCAUGCGAUGGAAAAGGUUGAGAACUGCUGGCCUAGAUGCAUGCACAUUUCCACAUGUGCGUAGUGAAUAGGCAUAUGGCCACUGUAUGGCAAGGGCCAUUGUAAGCCACCGCUGAAACAUAUGCAAGACAGAUGGGCACUAAAUCCACAAGAUAAUGGAGAAUUGUAAUGAAUUUCAUGGGCAUCACGUUUUUAUGUUCCUGUAAACUUAUGAAAGCCAUGAAAUUAAACGACCGCCUCACAACAGCACCAGAGUGACUAAUUUAAUUGGGGGGAGGAGAAGGGAGGGGGAAGCCCUCUGGAAAAACCAAUUGGUAAAUCAAAACUAAAAACUGAGAAUGAUAUCCUCGAGUUUUAACAUUUGCUCACAGACCCCUUUGGCUAUAGGAGUUUAUUAUACAGGAUUCUCUCUUGUUUUACAAAAGGAUGUGAUGUCUCCAAUCACACGGGGCAGGUCCCAGGGCCCACCUGGGAUGACAAUUCAAUCUCAGGAGAGCCACUGGGCUGCAAAGGGGGCCCUUCCAGGACAUGACUGCAUUUAAUGCUUUCUUAUUCUCACAUGAGCUUGAUGACUGGAUAAAGGAGGAGGUGAACAACGUUUCCUUCAUGGACAAAAGAAAAUGUGACCAUCAGGGCAUUUGCACAUCGAAUGACCUUCCUCCUCACUUCCCUGAACAUCGCUCGUUGGCUAGGAGAGCAAGAAUGUCUUUUUUCCUAGAUAUUUGGGCUGAAUUAAAAAAAAAACAAAAUUAAAAACGUCCAAUCUCCUCCCAAGAGGAGCAGAGCUCUUCUUCGUCUUGGGUUUGCUGACCAGCUUCGCACACCUGUUUACCUAACACGCGCUAAAAAAGCCAAACUCAGAGGGAAGAACUGCACUGGGAACACUCAUCCAACCACGCAGGAAACCUCACCCAACCACGCAGAGUGCGCUCUGACUCCUGGUGCUACACUUGUGGGCUCGGUUUCAGCAUAUUCUCACAGUCCAGGAACUGGAAGUCACACUUGUAUCUUAAAAGACGGGGAAACUGGGCCAGCGAAUACUUACUUACUUUGGAUCUGUAUUAUUGGAUUGCCCCAAAAAUCUUUAGGAAAAAAAAUGAGCUCCUUUACUUCUAUUUUUGCUCAAAGCAGUCCAAAGAAAACAAGUGUUGGUUCCCUCCGGUCUGUGAGCUCAGCUCAGUGUUGAACCAACUCCAGGGAAGUCACAGUGAGAGCUGGCACCAGACCUGGGAUAGAGCAGUGCAUCCACCUGCACUGCUGACUGCAGAGGCCUCAUUUCCCCGUUCUGCUCCGGGACAGGGACCCUCCAGGGGAGGGCACUUCUCUGCUCUCUUUCUUUAUUUUCCUGUCUGCGUACGUUCCUGCUGGAGGAAAGGGGCCGCUGAAACUUCCAAUCCCAAGAGUGGCAUUCAAGGCCUUGGAAACUUGCAGUUGCACCGUGUGUUGCUCUGGACGCCUCUACUCAAGCUAAGAGGAGCUGCCCGUGGCCCCAUGGCGGGCGGGUUAGAUCUAGGGCUGCAACACCUUCUCCCUGCAGCGCCUGCAUCUGGAUUAAAAUGCAGCGACCAGCUUUUGGCCCACGUGGACUGCACAGAGCACAUGCGUGGGUAGGCUCUAUGGAUCGGUGUUGAGUUAAAAAGCAGUUUCUGGAACCUUGCAGAUAAAUUAAUUUUCUGGUUAAUUUAUAGCGAGUACAUUUUUUCCCCUUGAAAUUGUGCCAAGCCCAGAAUAGACAGACAACAACAUUUGAGUCAAUUAUACUAUAUUUUGAAUUUUUCCCCCACAGGUUUUCUCGGUCUACUGCAUAAAGUUUUCUCUGAUACAGUAAAACAUUUUAAUUACAAUAGGUUACAAUUCUGUAGU
This is a long non-coding RNA of Myotis davidii, 1882 nucleotides long. RefSeq lists it as uncharacterized. Lineage: Eukaryota; Metazoa; Chordata; Mammalia; Chiroptera; Vespertilionidae. The transcript is spliced from 4 exons. The record is from RefSeq and is a predicted model, not a curated record.